CGCGGCCCCUUCCCGGGCCCUCGUCUGCCCGCCCCGCGGGGCGGCCCAGGGACCCCUUUGAGGCGGCCGUCCUGGGAACGCGUCGGGCCGACCCCCGCCCGGGAGGGCUCCAUGGCUGCGGCGCAAUAACUCAGGCCCAGCAUAUCACUUUUAACUUCAGAGCAGCCCCGUGAGAAGGGCAUGGCAACCCACUCCAGUCUUCUUGCCUGGAAAAUCCCACGGACAGAGGAGCCUGGCGGAGUCGCAAGGAGUCAGACACGACUGAAGCGAAUGAACGCACACAGUGUUGUCACAGUGAUAUCAUGGGGCAUGUUUUCCUACACUCUGUUUUAGAGAUAAGGCAACUGUGAUACAGAAAGGGAAAGUAACUUGCUUAAAGUCACACAGGCUGUCCAUGGAACCUCAGGGGUCAGAGCCAGGUAAACCUGAUGAGAUGAGUGUUCAUUGCCCUGACAUUUUAGAAUCCAUGCUGAUACUAGGGCUGUUAACUCUUCCUGGGACUCUUGCAUGGCAGUCUAAGGACUUGAGAUCCUCCUCCAGGGGUCCUGCCUGAGCCCCGCCCCAUCAUUCCAUCCUGCUCUGGUGUUGCCUGGAUCCCCAGGCCCACCCCCUGCCCCGCAGCAGGCUGUGGGAAGCCAAGGCCCCAGGA
Molecule: long non-coding RNA, 649 nt
Organism: Dama dama (fallow deer)
Lineage: Eukaryota; Metazoa; Chordata; Mammalia; Artiodactyla; Cervidae
Exons: 3
Source: RefSeq, a predicted model, not a curated record